CUUCCUUUCUCUUUGUGUCUUUACGCGGUCCGUUCAAUUUAGUGAUUUUGCUAUUUGUUUCCUGUUGUUUUUGGAUGGUAUAGUGGCGGAUUUGACUUAGAUUCAACUUUGAAGUCAAUUUGGUUAAAUUUAUUUGUACUGAUUUGUUAACUGGUACACUUUAUUUGAACAGUUAAUUCAUGAUUUUCGAUCUAAGGAUAGAUAAUAUUCUCAAAAUUUUUAUUUUUGAUGAAUAAGGGUUGGAAACACUGUUUUCUUUUCUGAUUUUGCUUCUAAUGUUUUGGGGAACUGAGAAACAUGGCUUUGGGAGACAAGAAUAUGGGAAUUUGAUAGAGAAAUGAGUAACCCCUUUUUUUAAUGGGUAACUUUUAAGUAUCAGUAUCCUGAAUGCCAGACUAACAUGAACAAAGGAGGCUGAAAAACCAAUAACUGUAUGAUCUCUAGUGCAUACAAAACUUCCAUAUUGCCAGGCCAAUUUUGGCUUGGUUUAUUGAGUUAACCCAUCUUGGCUGUGUUUUAGAGAAGAACAUUAGGUUUAAAAUCUUACAACUAUGUUGCCUGAGAUCCAAACUUCUGAACACUACAUUGUUGAAGACUAAAGUCCUGCCCUCAGUGUCCCAUGAUUAAGCCUUCUGAUACACUGAAGUAGCAAAACUUCUUGUCACCUUGAUCUCCUUGUUCAGUGCCCAUUUGCUUGGAUGGAAAUGAGGAGCAUCAACAGAACUUUAAUGCAUUAGAGCAGCACUUCGAAUGACCAGAACUUUAAUGCAUUCAUUACAUGCGAGAUAGUUGUCCAACUAGAGCAAAUAACUUAUUGGCUAUCGCUACUAUCCUUUUGACUAAGUAUCAAUUGGUGAUAACAGAAAACAUGACAUCUAUUUCAUCUUAGGUCAGGUUCAACAGAAAUUAAAUUUUGAUAAGGGAUCCACGGCAUUAUGUUUGUCAAUGCUUUUGUUCUUUGCUUUCUCUAUUUACAUGUGGAAAAUUUACUUAGAAUAUUUGGAAAAGUUCUACUUUUUAGCUUGAGGUAAAGGCUUCAGGUACAGUAUUUGUGAAGUUGAUGCCCACCUAAAAACCUCUAUCUGUCUUCUGUAAUGCUGUUGGAUAUAAAUAAGUCAUUGACGUGCUGUUUGGUUACCAGGGAUGAAUAUAUCAGGAUAGGAAUCAAAUUUUCAUUCCUUUUCGUUAUGUUUGAUUGCUCUGAAAGGAAUGGAAGUGAUAAAUCGUAAAUGGAUGAGUUUUAAUUUUGUUCCUACUUGAUUAUCAAGUGUUAGAAAUUGGAAAUGCAAAUGAGCUUUCCAUUCCAUUCCCUCUCUUUUAUGAAUGGUAAAAAAUUCGUAGCCCUCCAUUUCACUUCCUUAGCUCAGUAGUAAGUGGGGACUCUAGGCUUGGGCUGAUACUUGAAUGUCAUUGUGAAGACUGUGCCAGCUGUAUCUAAUUAACAUGUCACCUGAUAAUUUUGUUUUCUUCAGGAGAAUUAUGGUGGGUAUAUGGUCGCAUUUGCUGGUAGAAAAUAUGCUGCAAGGUCUCUUCCUGCUUUUGUUGCAAACAGCACGUACACUGUAACAAGUUUCACUCUUGUGCUUGAGUUUAAGAAGGGCCGGCUACAAAACCUUUACUGGAAAAGGGAUGGAUGCGCUAGAUGUACAGGAAACAAUAACUUUGUCUGUCUUAACAAUCAGGACUGUGCAAUCAGAACAUCAAACUGCAAAAACCGUGGAGGUUCAGUAGAUUGCAGCCUUGGUAUCCAAUUGGCAUUCUCUGGCACAGAUAAGCAUCUUGCGGUUCUCAACUCGUGGUAUGAGGUGGAAAAUCUGAGGCAGUACUCUCUUUUUGGCCUUUACUCAAAUCUCAGGAAUUCUCUCACUAGCCAGUACAAUAAGAUAUUUUAGUUGUGCUUGUAGAAGUUCUGCUCCUGAUUUGUUAUAAUUCCACCCCCUCCUCACACCCUCAAACCAACACAAAAAGAAAAAAGUUACCUACACCUCGACUCUUUUCUGAUGGAUGCUUCAUUUCCCUGUUGCCAUCUCUUUGUAGUUGUUGCGUGUAAAUUUUGGAAUACAACCGAUUAUUUGUGAUUAUAUGUGAAGAGAAAUUGUUAUGGUUGAAAUAUUUCUUCAUGAUAACCAAAUUGCAAAUUGAACCUUCUUAAGUUUGAAGAUGGUUGACCUGUUCUGUUGUUGUUGGCUUGUAAGCUCGACAAUGUGAGUUGUGUG
Molecule: unclassified non-coding RNA, 2216 nt
Filed under: Hevea brasiliensis (rubber tree)
Lineage: Eukaryota; Viridiplantae; Streptophyta; Magnoliopsida; Malpighiales; Euphorbiaceae
Source: RNAcentral